GAUGAACGCUAGCUACAGGCUUAACACAUGCAAGUCGAGGGGUAGCAGGGUAGCAAUACCGCUGACGACCGGCGCACAGGUGAGUAACACGUAUCCAACCUUCCCAUAACUCGGGGAUAGCCUUUCGAAAGAAAGAUUAAUACCCGAUAGUACUUUUUCAAGGCAUCUUGAGAAAGUUAAAGAUUUAUUGGUUAUGGAUGGGGAUGCGUUCCAUUAGAUAGUUGGUGAGGUAACGGCUCACCAAGUCUUCGAUGGAUAGGGGUUCUGAGAGGAAGGUCCCCCACAUUGGUACUGAGACACGGACCAAACUCCUACGGGAGGCAGCAGUGAGGAAUAUUGGUCAAUGGGCGAGAGCCUGAACCAGCCAAGUAGCGUGAAGGAUGGAGGUCCUAUGGAUUGUAAACUUCUUUUAUAGUAGAAUAAAGUGAUCCACGUGUGGAUUUUUGUAUGUAUACUAUGAAUAAGGAUCGGCUAACUCCGUGCCAGCAGCCGCCGCGG
Molecule: ribosomal RNA, 498 nt
Filed under: uncultured bacterium
Lineage: Bacteria
Description: partial 16S ribosomal RNA
Rfam family: Bacterial small subunit ribosomal RNA
Source: RNAcentral